CCAUUUCCGAGCACCUCGUGGGAGGCCGAGGAGGAGCGGGAAGCAGAGCUGAGCAUCACUGCCCUGCAGCCCUGCCUGGCUGCUGCCAGCAUUACCCCUGCCUGCCCUCCAGCUGCACGACGCAAAGCCCAUGCAGAACUGCCAUGGCAGGUCCCAGCCCUGUGCUGCCCAGAUAAGAGCAGCGAGACAGAAGCCACUUUAGUAACUGCAGGACUCGUGCGACUGCACUUCAGCUGCUCUGUAACCAGAGAAUAGAGAAGACAGCACUUUGGAAAUGAAUUGAAACUGCAUAGAAUAGGAGGAAAAAAUCAGAUCCGAGGCCUGCUGAGGUCUGAGGCUCCUUCAAGAACCGAGGAGGUGAGGUUUGUGGCAAUUAGAUCGUGAAGUUUUGAUUGUGGCUGUGCCACGGGCUGUGUGUAACAGAGCCUGGGUAGCACAACCUGGGUCUAGAUAUUGGGGUAUCUUCAUAUCUAGAAGUUGGGCUUUCAUCCCAGACGUGGAGGGCUCUGAUACACAGGGCUUAAAGAAAAUCAGAAAUAUGGGCCAGGGGAGGGAACUGAACCUGUCCAACACUUUCUAGUGCAUCCUCCAGCUAAGUAGGAAAGUGUCCAC
RNAcentral lists this long non-coding RNA (612 nucleotides) under Anser brachyrhynchus (Pink-footed goose). RNAcentral describes it as "lncRNA (ENSABRG00000016744.1)". Lineage: Eukaryota; Metazoa; Chordata; Aves; Anseriformes; Anatidae. The record is from RNAcentral.